This is a long non-coding RNA of Vitis vinifera (wine grape), 3739 nucleotides long. RefSeq lists it as uncharacterized. The record is from RefSeq and is a predicted model, not a curated record. The transcript has 2 exons. Lineage: Eukaryota; Viridiplantae; Streptophyta; Magnoliopsida; Vitales; Vitaceae.
ACUGUGUAUCUCUUGUUCAUCUUCACUACCACUGUUCUUUCAUCUUCUCCUCUUGCUGUUUGGGGUUUUGUUUGCUUGUUUGGUUAUGGACAACAGAAGCUACACAUGAGUUUUGUUGAUUUCUGGCUUGUUCAUAUGUUCAUUGUUAUUGUUUCAUUCACUGUUCUUUUUAGUAUUAUUUGAACUCAGUGAAGCUCUGUUUCAUUUUGCCUUAUUUGAAGAUAUUGGUUGCUUUUUUCUUGUUUGAAUCUACUAUUCCCACCAGUCCAAGCCCAUUGAAAGAGCAUCAGAAGUGGCUUUUCUUGGUUCAUAUAUUGUUUGUUUGCUUUUUCUGGUUCUCCUCUGUUCUGGUCUCUGUUCUUUCUCUUUAGUUUUUUGAUGCACUUGAUCUGGGGAAGUGGAUUGAUUAAUUAAUCAGUCAGAGGGAUGGUCUUGGGCUUGUUCUUGGGGAAUGCACUGGCAGAUAUGUAUGCACAGUGUGGAAAAUGUGAGGCUGUUAACACUUCAUCCAUUUUCUUUUCCAGGGACAUAAAUGUUGGUCGAGUAGCUGAGAGAUUAGGACGAGUCCCUCUCCAACCACUACUAGAGCUGCUUCAGUUGUAUCUCCUGGAACUGUGCCCUAUGCUGGAGUCCAUCCAAAAGUGCCUUUGGCCAAGGCUGUGCUAGCUGAAUCAGUGACACUAUAUGAGCUAUGUUAUCAGUUGAUUGCAUUUGGAAAGAUUCUCAAGGAUGACACAACAUUGGAUGCAGCUGACAUUGACAACAGUGGAACAAUAGACUAUGGGGAAUUCCUUGCUGCUAUUGAACACUUGAAUAGGCUAGUGGAGGAGUUGAUUCAGUGAGCUUGACUGCUGAGACUACUAAUGGUGCUACCAAGAAAUUCAUUUGUGAUGGAAAUUCUGACAUAAUGCCCAACGAUUGCCUGGAUGGUGAUUUUUGUAGAAAAUGAUUCUGUUUCAAGAGAGGACUUGGAAACCAAUCGAGUGGAUCCCUUUGGACAGCAUCUCUGGAUCUGAGUGCAAAAACGCUUACGGAGAUCUGCGCUGGAUUUCAAAAGGACAAGAAGCUUACUGGUGGCAUCAUGAGAUUUCAAAUGCGGUGAUCUUGUCCUUGGCAAUGGGGCUCUGCUUACUUUGCUAGCACAGUUGAACUAGCGUGCAAAGCUGUAUAUGCUCAGGAAUGCUACUUGUGCACUUUCAAAUUUCUACAAGGGCAAGCUACAACUUCCUUUUGAUCAGACAAAGCCUGCUUUUUUCUGGAAUAGAUCAGUGAGCAAUCAUCAUACAUGGUUUCAUCUAACCAUUCUUGCUUAGAUGACAAGUCAAAUAUCAGUGGAAGUGGUGCAUGAUCCCUCCAGUAAAUCAGUUCAUAUAACUUCUGGUGUGGGAAGAUUUGUUGGCAGGAAUCACAGUCCUAGACAGCUGGUUAUUGCAUCUCCAGGAACCCCACUGCUUGAAAUUCUUGUGGUCAAAGAUUCUGAUGAGAACCGCCGUGAGAACUUUUCCAAAAACUUUCAUGAAAGCCGCACCUGUUUCAUUAAAUAUGCAGAAACUGAUUAUUUGAGGAGUGUUACAGAAAAUCUCAGGUUGGUCAGUAGGCAUCUAUUGAUAUGAGAGAUUGUGCCCUGUAUCUAUAUGAUAAGAUGCUUCGGCUUGCUUUAAGUCACCACUUUCAUCAGAUAUGGAGAAGGAAUUCAGAAUUAUUCAUACUAGUUGAGAUCGUCCUCAUAUGGUCUGCACAAAUGGAAGUUGAUGCCAGGGAAUGUUCAUCUACAGCUUUGUUGUGUCAAGCUUGAGUUCUUCCUCCAGAGCCCAUUCCCUUCAUGGGAAACAUACAGAACCCCAUCAAUUAGAGAAGAAGUUCUCCGGGAAGGUUGUUGAAGUAGACAAAGAAGUAUCUCUUUCAGAAAGCAGCAGCACAGGGAAUUCAAUCUAGAACUAGGCUUGAUCAUGCCACUUUCAUUGCAGUGUUAGCAGCUUGUGCCCAUCCCUGGAUGGCCAACAGAGCUUCGAAGGUAUUUAGUGAGAUGUUUCUAAAAUAUGGCAUUGAGCUCUCUGUUGAACAUUAUGUUUGCAUGGUAGAAGUUGUAAGCUGAGUUGGAAUGCUCUCAGAAGCAACAGAAUUCAUUUCUAAUAUGUCAGUUGAACCAAAUGCCAAAAUCUAGGGUGCACUGCUCAAUGGGGUUUCAGUUUCUGGUGAUGUCGAACUUGGGAAGUUUGUUUCUGAUCAUUUGUUCGAGAUGGAGCCUGAAAACACAGGUAAUAGUGUCAUUAUGGCAAAUUUAUACUCACGACCUGAUUAUGGAAGAAUUGUGGAGAUUCUGCACAGUAGAUGGUUGAGAUUUGAUAAGAAGAAUUGGAGGGCCUCUUACAAUUCCCUGAACCUGCUUAGAGCACCUGAUGACUCAUGGACCAGAGAGUGUUGCAAACGAGUUUCGGAGCGAGAAAAAUGUAAAGGAGAAAAUGUGGAAGACAUUCAUGUGAUCAUUACUCGCGUCCAAGUUACUGAUGAAUCAGUUGAGUACCUUAAAAGUGGUUCUGCAGUUUUCAGUGUUUUAAGGAACCUUGGUAAGUCAGAGGAAAGAGUGUGUUGUUAGGGAUAUUUGUGAAACCAACAAUCAGAUUCGAAUUCAAGGUGCUGAUGGAUCAGAAGAAUAUUUUCAAAGUUCCUCUGUUAGCAAUAGUUUUGGAACAGAGCAGGACCCACUAGCAGAAAAGCCACUUUGAAGAUAGGAUUGAACAUUAGUGAUGGUAUCAUGCAAAGAGAGCGACAACAGGGAAAUACCUCAGAAGUUCUUGGCCUUGGUGACAAAGUGUCUGAUACGCAAAUAGAACAGACACUUUUCCCAUUGAAAUCGGCCUACACGGAUCAGGAAUCAGUAGGAAGCUUCUUGGAGCCAUUUCAAAGGCCAAAUCUGAAAGCUUUCAUAACUGGUGGUGGUUUGAUCCUUCCUUAGCAGAUAACUAGGCAACACAAGGGCAGCAGUCACAACUGCCAUCACAGCAGUAAUUGAUGAAACUUCAGCCCGAAUACAGAACUCAUUGCUGAUGUUGUUUAGAAAGAGAGGCCGAAAUGGAUAUUCCUAACUUCUCCUAACAAUCUAGAUGGAUCUCCAUUCUAUUGGUUCUGAUGCUCUUGAUGACGCACUCCAGUAUGCUUUGGCAGAGGCAGAAAAGAUUAAGAACAUGGCUAACUGGGAGGAUGCUGUUCAAGUGGUUUGUUUUCAUGCAAAAUCUGGUGCAAACUGUUUUUGAAGGAGCUGGUGACUGUAGUUCGUGGGUAGCUGCUAUGUUGGAACUUGCUCGGGAUAUUUCUUAAGGGGCUCAUGGAUUCAAGAAUGCUGUUAUAUUUUUAUUUAGUACUGGUGAAGAGGUUCCCCAAAAGGUUUCAAGCUGCUUUCAAAACUUGAAAUGCUUGACUUGCAUGGGAGUAUGCUCAAUGUUCAUGUGGAUAAAGAAUUCUUGCAAUUUUCAAGUGCCAUUCAUGUUAACUUUAGUGGGAAUAUGCUAGUGAAUUCUGGUUGGUAGAAACAAAUUAUUAUUUUUUUUUAUCCAGUAUUUCUCCAACUAUUACGCAUAUAAAUCUCUGUCAUAACUAAUUUAUGGGAUCACUUGUACUUGCUCACCCAGUUGCCCGCGCAAGUACCUCUUCGACCAGGGGAGUUUUCCGAAGCUUCACCUACUGUAGGUGAUUUUAGUGAUCAAUCAUUGUUAGAAUCCAGUAGUUCUAUUGUUGUUCA